UAGAGUUUGAUCCUGGCUCAGGAUGAACGCUGGCGGCGUGCCUAAUACAUGCAAGUCGAGCGAAUGGAUUAAGAGCUUGCUCUUAUGAAGUUAGCGGCGGACGGGUGAGUAACACGUGGGUAACCUGCCCAUAACCCUGGGAUAACUCCGGGAAACCGGGGCUAAUACCGGAUAAUAUUUUGAUCUGCAUGGUUCGAAAUUGAAAGGCGGCUUCGGCUGUCACUUAUGGAUGGACCCGCGUCGCAUUAGCUAGUUGGUGCGGUAACGGCUCACCAAGGCAACGAUGCGUAGCCGACCUGAGAGAGUGAUCGGCCACACUGGGACUGAGACACGGCCCAGAUUCCUACGGGAGGCAGCAGUAGGGAAUCUUCCGCAAUGGACGAAAGUCUGACGGAGCAACGCCGCGUGAGUGAUGAAGGCUUUCGGGUCGUAAAACUCUGUUGUUAGGGAAGAACAAGUGCUAGUUGAAUAAGCUGGCACCUUGACGGUACCUAACCAGAAAGCCACGGCUAACUACGUGCCAGCAGCCGCGGUAAUACGUAGGUGGCAAGCGUUAUCCGGAAUUAUUGGGCGUAAAGCGCGCGCAGGUGGUUUCUUAAGUCUGAUGUGAAAGCCCACGGCUCAACCGUGGAGGGUCAUUGGAAACUGGGAGACUUGAGUGCAGAAGAGGAAAGUGGAAUUCCAUGUGUAGCGGUGAAAUGCGUAGAGAUAUGGAGGAACACCAGUGGCGAAGGCGACUUUCUGGUCUGUAACUGACACUG
Molecule: ribosomal RNA, 761 nt
Filed under: uncultured bacterium
Lineage: Bacteria
Description: bacterial SSU rRNA
Rfam family: Bacterial small subunit ribosomal RNA
Source: RNAcentral